ACACACACAAACACACACACACACACACACACACAGUAACUGAAAGAACAGGUUUAUCGCAUCAUGAAUCCAGCACCGCCCCUUAUGCCCUGAUGUCUGAGAGCCCUAGUUGGACACACACACCUGAUCUUGAGCACCUGGCCGUGAGGAGAGCGCAGGGAACCAAACGACGGCAUGUCUCAGGAGAAGAAGGAGAGGGACGGAGGAAGGAGAGGAGAAGAAGAAGAAGAACAAAGGGUUCUUCGGGACUUUAUCGCCAACGAAAGGACAGAUGAUCCUGCCGCUGGAGAG
This is a long non-coding RNA of Clupea harengus (Atlantic herring), 291 nucleotides long. RefSeq lists it as uncharacterized. NCBI's taxonomy places the organism in Eukaryota, Metazoa, Chordata, Actinopteri, Clupeiformes, Clupeidae. The transcript has 2 exons. The record is from RefSeq and is a predicted model, not a curated record.